This 646-nucleotide long non-coding RNA is filed under the name Sus scrofa (pig). RNAcentral describes it as "lncRNA (ENSSSCG00015018842.1)". The record is from RNAcentral. Lineage: Eukaryota; Metazoa; Chordata; Mammalia; Artiodactyla; Suidae.
GUCAUUUUUUUGUUUGUGUUUUUUUUUUUUUUUUUUUGCUUUUGGUUUUUAGGGCUGUAUUCAGGCUGGGGUCAAAGCAGAGCUGUAGCUGCCGGCCUACACCACAGCCACAGCCACACAGGAUCCAAGCCGCAUCUGCAACCUGCACCACAGCUCACAGCAACGCCGGAUCCUUCACCCACUGAGCAAGGCCAGGCAUGGAGCCGAAUCCUCAAGGAUACAAGUGGGGUUCAUCACCCCUGAGCAUGAUGGGAACUCCCGUUGUUACGCUUUUCAUUCGUUUAUCCUGCCCCCUGUUUGGGAGAGGACGACAGGUGGUGAACGCAUCGUUGGAGGACAGGUAAAAAGAGCGAAUUUCAGCACACACCCUGCCUGGGCCGCGGGCUUUCGCGAUAAAAUAACAAUGAUCACGACAAGGACUGGACCUUGCAAAUCCGGACGUUCACGGCGGGAAACACUGGACGUGCUCAUGGCUCUGAAAAGGCAGCAACCUGACUUGAGUAAUUUCGUUCUCUUGGCUGUUUGGGGGGAGGAGGCUUUCAGGUGCUGCUUAUGACGUGUCUACAGAUCCCUUUUUACAUAAGUCCUUGCCACGAACAUUUGAAAGAAUCUCAAAGCUGCAGAAUAAAGUGAUCAAACGCCGUCA